CAGCCGUAAACGAUGCGCGUUAGGUGUAUCGACGACCACGAGUCGUCGAGGUGCCGAAGGGAAACCGUGAAACGUGCCGCCUGGGAAGUACGGUCGCAAGGCUGAAACUUAAAGGAAUUGGCGGGGGAGCACCACAACAGGUGGAGCCUGCGGUUUAAUUGGACUCAACGCCGGAAAUCUCACCGGAUAAGACAGCAAUAUGUAGGCCAGGCUGAAGACCUUGCCUGAAUCGCUGAGAGGAGGUGCAUGGCGUAGACGUCU
RNAcentral lists this ribosomal RNA (261 nucleotides) under uncultured archaeon. Its description in RNAcentral is "partial 16S ribosomal RNA". It matches the Rfam family "Archaeal small subunit ribosomal RNA", at positions 748 to 1009 of the family's 1478-position model. The record is from RNAcentral.